GCGAUCGGGGGAGGCGGGAGGCAGGGUUCACUCCCUCUCUAGCCCAGGCGCCGACUGCUCGCCUUCCUGGGCGCACGCUCCUGGCUGCCACCCGCCCGGGUCCGGGGGCGCCGGGGUGCAAGGGGUAACCGGAGAGGCCUCUGCAGUCCGGCUGGGACCCAGUCCCCGAGCCCCCAGCAGCCGGACGAGUCUGGCGCCUGGGCAGGGGUGGCCUGCGUCUUCCGCGGGCAGUCUGGGUUUACUCGGGUGCCCAGUCUCCCCGGACUAGCUCAACGCGGAGUGAACUUCCCGAGACUUGGUCCGAGGGCGCCCAGGCAGCAGCAGGUAGUUCUGGGCCGGCUUCAGGGCGAGGGCGAACGGGGGACGCAGCGUUCCGACGGGCCGGGGGCGCCGAGGGCAUCGGCUUCGUCGUAGCCUCGGGCCACGUGCGCCCGGGCCGCCACCCCACCGCGGCUUCCCACUGCUCUUUUUUCUUGGACGAGGCUUGUGUGAGGAAGGCGCCUUUCUUCCAUUUGGGUCGAAGCCCUUAGCUCCCGGGUUUUGGAGGAUAUAA
Molecule: long non-coding RNA, 553 nt
Organism: Sapajus apella (tufted capuchin)
Lineage: Eukaryota; Metazoa; Chordata; Mammalia; Primates; Cebidae
Exons: 3
Source: RefSeq, a predicted model, not a curated record